AUUCCAGCUCCAAUAGCGUAUACUAAAGUUGUUGCAGUUAAAAAGCUCGUAGUUGGAUUUCUGGUCGUGAAAAGUGGUCCGUUCCGCAAGGAAUGUGUACUGUCUAUUCAUGUCCAUCCUCGGAGUUAGUGUGUAUUACUUUAAUCGGUCGUGCAUGCAAUACUUCGUCAUUUACUGUGAGCAAAAUAGAGUGUUCAAAGCAGGCUUAUGCCGUUGAAUAUAUUAGCAUGGAAUAAUAAGAUAGGAUCUUGAUACUAUUUUGUUGGUUUGCGUGUCGAGAUAAUGAUGAAUAGGGACAGUUGGGGGUAUUUGUAUUCCAUAGUCAGAGGUGAAAUUCUUGGAUUUAUGGAAGACAAACUAAUGCGAAAGCAUCUACCAAGGAUGUUUUCAUCG
Molecule: ribosomal RNA, 393 nt
Filed under: Eucampia sp.
Lineage: Eukaryota; Bacillariophyta; Thalassiosirophyceae; Eucampiales; Eucampiaceae
Description: partial small subunit ribosomal RNA
Rfam family: Eukaryotic small subunit ribosomal RNA
Source: RNAcentral